UACGGGGGGGGCAAGCGUUGUUCGGAAUUACUGGGCGUAAAGGGCUCGUAGGUGGCCAACUAAGUCAGACGUGAAAUCCCUCGGCUUAACCGGGGAACUGCGUCUGAUACUGGAUGGCUUGAGUGUGGGAGAGGGAUGCGGAAUUCCCAGUGUAGCGGUGAAAUACGUAGAUAUUGGGAGGAACACCAGUGGCGAAGGCGGCUCACUGGACCGGAACUGACGCUGAGGAGCGAAAGCGUGGGGAGCGAACAGG
Molecule: ribosomal RNA, 253 nt
Filed under: uncultured bacterium
Lineage: Bacteria
Description: partial 16S ribosomal RNA
Rfam family: Bacterial small subunit ribosomal RNA
Source: RNAcentral